UUGAGAAUAAAAAUGCAUAUUGACAGGCUAAACAUUCCCUAUAUUAAGCCCAUGCUUGUGUGCCCAGACCUAGUUCUUUACCUAUGUCUGGUUUUAUAAAUGCUGGUGAUAAAC
This 114-nucleotide small nucleolar RNA is filed under the name Ovis aries (sheep). Its description in RNAcentral is "Small nucleolar RNA SNORA72 (ENSOARG00000024345.1)". It matches the Rfam family "Small nucleolar RNA SNORA72". From Rfam's summary of the family: U72 is a member of the H/ACA class of snoRNAs. The snoRNA gene is located in intron 4 of the ribosomal L30 protein gene in human, mouse and chicken. Lineage: Eukaryota; Metazoa; Chordata; Mammalia; Artiodactyla; Bovidae. The record is from RNAcentral.